GUCUUAUGCAUGCAAGUCGAACGAGCCCCAGGAUUUCGGUCCUGACGGCAAGUGGCGGACGGGAGAGUAACACGUACGUAACCUAUCCAAACGUGGGGAACAACUCCGCGAAAGCGGGGCUAAUACCGCAUGUGGUCGGCCGGUGAGAUUCCGGUUGACGAAAGCCUUCGGGCGCGUAUGGAGGGGCGUGCGGCCGAUUAGCUAGUUGGUGAGGUAACGGCCCACCAAGGCGACGAUCGGUAGCUGGUCUGAGAGGACGGCCAGCCACACGGGGACUGAGACACGGCCCCGACUCCUACGGGAGGCAGCAGCAAGGAAUUUUGCGCAAUGGGCGAAAGCCUGACGCAGCAACGCCGCGUGGGGGAUGAAGGCCUUCGGGUCGUAAACCCCUUUUGCGGGGGAAGCAACUGACGGUACCCCGCGAAUAAGCCACGGCUAACUACGUGCCAGCAGCCGCGGUAAUACGUAGGUGGCGAGCGUUGUCCGGAUUUACUGGGCGUAAAGGGCGCGCAGGCGGCUCAUCAAGUCUAGGGUGAAAUCUCCCGGCUCAACCGGGAGCGGUCUCUGGAAACUGAUGAGCUUGAGAGGAGCAGAGGAGAGUGGAAUUCCCGGUGUAGCG
This 619-nucleotide ribosomal RNA is filed under the name uncultured bacterium. RNAcentral describes it as "bacterial SSU rRNA". It matches the Rfam family "Bacterial small subunit ribosomal RNA", at positions 46 to 680 of the family's 1533-position model. The record is from RNAcentral.